GUGGGGAAUAUUGGACAAUGGGCGAAAGCCUGAUCCAGCCAUGCCGCGUGUGUGAAGAAGGUCUUCGGAUUGUAAAGCACUUUAAGUUGGGAGGAAGGGCAGUAAGUUAAUACCUUGCUGUUUUGACGUUACCGCCAGAAUAAGCACCGGCUAACUUCGUGCCAGCAGCCGCGGUAAUACGAAGGGUGCAAGCGUUAAUCGGAAUUACUGGGCGUAAAGCGCGCGUAGGUGGUUUUGUAAGUUGGAGGUGAAAUCCCCGGGCUCAACCUGGGAACUGCCUCCAAAACUGCAUGACUAGAGUACGGUAGAGGGUAGUGGAAUUUCCUGUGUAGCGGUGAAAUGCGUAGAUAUAGGAAGGAACACCAGUGGCGAAGGCGACUACCUGGACUGAUACUGACACUGAGGUGCGAAAGCGUGGGGAGCAAACAGGAUUAGAAACCCGUGUAGUCC
This 450-nucleotide ribosomal RNA is filed under the name uncultured bacterium. RNAcentral's name for it is "partial 16S ribosomal RNA". It matches the Rfam family "Bacterial small subunit ribosomal RNA", at positions 354 to 796 of the family's 1533-position model. The record is from RNAcentral.